Molecule: ribosomal RNA, 920 nt
Filed under: uncultured Mycoplasma sp.
Lineage: Bacteria; Bacillati; Mycoplasmatota; Mollicutes; Mycoplasmatales; Mycoplasmataceae
Description: bacterial SSU rRNA
Rfam family: Bacterial small subunit ribosomal RNA
Source: RNAcentral
GCAUGCCUAAUACAUGCAAGUCGAGCGAAAAAGGUCUUCGGGCCUUUUUAGUGGCAAACGGGCGAGUAACACAUAUUUAACUUGCUCAUCCGAGGAGAAUAGCAGCCCGAAAGGGCUAUUAAUACGCCAUAGUUUUAAAUUAGUGAAUUAAUUUAAAUUAAAGGAGGCUGCCGAAAGGUGGCCUCGCGGAUGAAUAGGAAUAUGUCCUAUUAGGUCGUUGGAGAGGUAAUGGCUCACCAAGCCGAUGAUGGGUAGCUGGACUGAGAGGUUGAACAGCCGCAAUGGGAUUGAGAAAUGGCCCAUAUUCCUACGGGAAGCAGCAGUGAGGAAUUUUUCACAAUGGACGAAAGUCUGAUGGAGCAAUACCACGUGAACGAUGAAGGUCUUCUGAUUGUAAAGUUCUUUUAUUUAGGAAAAAAAGCGCGGCAGGAAAUGGCCGCGCCUUGAUUGUACUAAUUGAAUAAGUGACAGCUAACUAUGUGCCAGCAGCUGCGGUAAAACAUAGGUCACGAGCAUUAUCCGGAUUUAUUGGGCGUAAAGGAAGCGUAGGCUGAAAUGUGUAUUCAUUGUUAAAAAUAUUUGCUUAACAAGUGUUCGCGGUGAAGAUUACAUUUCUAGAAUUAGUUAGAGGGUACUGGAAUUCAAUGUGUAGUGGUGGAAUACGUAGAUAUAUUGAGGAACACCAGAGGCUAAGGCGAGUGCCUGGAACAUAAUUGACGCUGAGGCUUGAAAGCGUGGGUAGCAAAUGGGAUUAGAUACCCCAGUAGUCCACGCCGUAAACGAUGGGUAUUAGUCAUUUGGAUUUAAGACUGAGUGAUGUAGCUAACGCGUUAAAUACCCCGCCUGGGUAGUAUAUAUGCAAAUAUGAAACUCAAAGAAAUUGACGGGGACCUGAACAAGUGGUGGAGAAUCACUAGUGA